Molecule: microRNA precursor, 65 nt
Filed under: Caenorhabditis elegans
Lineage: Eukaryota; Metazoa; Nematoda; Chromadorea; Rhabditida; Rhabditidae
Description: Cel-Mir-67_pre stem-loop
Rfam family: mir-67 microRNA precursor family
Source: RNAcentral
CGCUCAUUCUGCCGGUUGUUAUGCUAUUAUCAGAUUAAGCAUCACAACCUCCUAGAAAGAGUAGA